This 465-nucleotide ribosomal RNA is filed under the name uncultured Klebsiella sp. Its description in RNAcentral is "bacterial SSU rRNA". It matches the Rfam family "Bacterial small subunit ribosomal RNA", at positions 338 to 795 of the family's 1533-position model. The record is from RNAcentral. Lineage: Bacteria; Pseudomonadati; Pseudomonadota; Gammaproteobacteria; Enterobacterales; Enterobacteriaceae.
CCUACGGGUGGCAGCAGUGGGGAAUAUUGCACAAUGGGCGCAAGCCUGAUGCAGCCAUGCCGCGUGUGUGAAGAAGGCCUUCGGGUUGUAAAGCACUUUCAGCGGGGAGGAAGGCGGUGAGGUUAAUAACCUCAUCGAUUGACGUUACCCGCAGAAGAAGCACCGGCUAACUCCGUGCCAGCAGCCGCGGUAAUACGGAGGGUGCAAGCGUUAAUCGGAAUUACUGGGCGUAAAGCGCACGCAGGCGGUCUGUCAAGUCGGAUGUGAGAUCCCCGGGCUCAACCUGGGAACUGCAUUCGAAACUGGCAGGCUAGAGUCUUGUAGAGGGGGGUAGAAUUCCAGGUGUAGCGGUGAAAUGCGUAGAGAUCUGGAGGAAUACCGGUGGCGAAGGCGGCCCCCUGGACAAAGACUGACGCUCAGGUGCGAAAGCGUGGGGAGCAAACAGGAUUAGAUACCCUAGUAGUC